UUUGGCAUUCGGUUUGUUAUCAACAAUUGCAUUGCCAACAGCAUGCAAUAGGUGAGUUUUACCUAAACCUGUUCCGCCAUA
Molecule: antisense RNA, 81 nt
Filed under: Vibrio tapetis subsp. tapetis
Lineage: Bacteria; Pseudomonadati; Pseudomonadota; Gammaproteobacteria; Vibrionales; Vibrionaceae
Description: antisense RNA of dnaA mRNA
Rfam family: antisense RNA of dnaA mRNA
Source: Rfam by way of RNAcentral